This is a long non-coding RNA of Mytilus trossulus (common blue mussel), 287 nucleotides long. RefSeq lists it as uncharacterized. The transcript has 3 exons. The record is from RefSeq and is a predicted model, not a curated record. NCBI's taxonomy places the organism in Eukaryota, Metazoa, Mollusca, Bivalvia, Mytilida, Mytilidae.
AGGGAGCCUUUGUUGCACAUAUCCUGAAUACCUCAAGAUGGUGACAGAUUGGUACUGAAGACAGAUCUAACCUGCUGCUGUGAUUGGUGUUUAACUCAGUCCAACAGCGAGUCCAACAUUACCAUAUACUUUCCUGUCUGGAACCUUUACAGAUUUUUCCUGAUUUUGUUCCCUUCAGCAUAGAGAAGUCAGAAGAAGACCUAUCAUCUUUAGGACCAGUUGAAGAUUUCCUCCACUUUGUAUUUUUUGACGUCUCUUGACAACACCAGUAGUAUGGACAAAUGGUU